This is a small nucleolar RNA of Monodelphis domestica (gray short-tailed opossum), 63 nucleotides long. The record is from Ensembl. NCBI's taxonomy places the organism in Eukaryota, Metazoa, Chordata, Mammalia, Didelphimorphia, Didelphidae.
GUACAUAUGAUGUGGCAAUUCAGUAUGAAUGAAACUGUGAUACUGUAAACGCUUUCUGAUGUA